Molecule: ribosomal RNA, 254 nt
Filed under: uncultured bacterium
Lineage: Bacteria
Description: partial 16S ribosomal RNA
Rfam family: Bacterial small subunit ribosomal RNA
Source: RNAcentral
GACGAACCGUGCGAACGUUAUUCGGAAUCACUGGGCUUAAAGCGCGUGUAGGCGGGUCAGCACGUCGGUUGCUGAAAUCCCCCGGCUCAACCGGGGAACGGGCACCGAUACGACUGGCCUGGAGGGGAGUAGGGGGACCUGGAACUUCCGGUGGAGCGGUGAAAUGCGUUGAGAUCGGAAGGAACGCCCGUGGCGAAAGCGAGGUCCUGGACGUUUUCUGACGCUGAGACGCGAAAGCCAGGGGAGCGAACGGG